CCUACGGGAGGCAGCAGUGAGGAAUAUUGGUCAAUGGACGAAAGUCUGAACCAGCCAAGCCGCGUGAAGGAUGAAUGCCCUAUGGGUUGUAAACUUCUUUUAUAAAGGAAUAAAACGAGGCACGUGUGCCUGUUUGCAUGUACUUUAUGAAUAAGGAUCGGCUAACUCCGUGCCAGCAGCCGCGGUAAUACGGAGGAUCCGAGCGUUAUCCGGAUUUAUUGGGUUUAAAGGGAGCGUAGAUGGGUUGUUAAGUCAGUUGUGAAAGUUUGCGGCUCAACCGUAAAAUUGCAAUUGAUACUGGCAGUCUUGAGUACAGUUGAGGUAGGCGGAAUUCGUGGUGUAGCGGUGAAAUGCUUAGAUAUCACGAAGAACCCCGAUUGCGAAGGCAGCUUACUAAACUGUGACUGACACUGAUGCUCGAAAGUGUGGGUAUCAAACAGGAUUAGAUACCCUGGUAGUC
This 460-nucleotide ribosomal RNA is filed under the name uncultured bacterium. RNAcentral's name for it is "partial 16S ribosomal RNA". It matches the Rfam family "Bacterial small subunit ribosomal RNA", at positions 338 to 795 of the family's 1533-position model. The record is from RNAcentral.